Molecule: ribosomal RNA, 650 nt
Filed under: uncultured bacterium
Lineage: Bacteria
Description: bacterial SSU rRNA
Rfam family: Bacterial small subunit ribosomal RNA
Source: RNAcentral
GGUAGCUUGCUACCUGGCGGCGAGUGGCGGACGGGUGAGUAAUGCGUAGGAAUCUACCUUAAAGUUGGGGAUAACUCGGGGAAACUCGAGCUAAUACCGAAUAAGCACUACGGUGUAAAGCGGGGGAUCUUCGGACCUCGUGCUUUAAGAUGAGCCUACGUCGGAUUAGCUAGUUGGUGGGGUAAAGGCCUACCAAGGCAACGAUCCGUAGCUGGUCUGAGAGGACGAUCAGCCACACUGGGACUGAGACACGGCCCAGACUCCUACGGGAGGCAGCAGUGGGGAAUAUUGGACAAUGGGCGCAAGCCUGAUCCAGCAAUACCGCGUGUGUGAAGAAGGCCUUCGGGUUGUAAAGCACUUUCAGUAGGGAGGAAAAGUUAGUAGUUAAUAACUGCUAGCCAUGACGUUACCUACAGAAGAAGCACCGGCUAACUCUGUGCCAGCAGCCGCGGUAAUACAGAGGGUGCAAGCGUUAAUCGGAAUUACUGGGCGUAAAGCGCGCGUAGGCGGAUGCUUAAGUCGAUUGUGAAAGCCCCGGGCUCAACCUGGGAACUGCAGUCGAUACUGGGCAUCUAGAGUAUGGUAGAGGUAUGUGGAAUUCCCGGUGUAGCGGUGAAAUGCGUAGAGAUCGGGAGGAACACCAGUGGCGA